RNAcentral lists this ribosomal RNA (433 nucleotides) under uncultured bacterium. RNAcentral's name for it is "partial 16S ribosomal RNA". It matches the Rfam family "Bacterial small subunit ribosomal RNA", at positions 29 to 507 of the family's 1533-position model. The record is from RNAcentral.
AACGAACGCUGGCGGCAGGCCUAACACAUGCAAGUCGAGCGAGCAUUUCGGUGCUAGCGGCGGACGGGUGAGUAACGCGUGGGAACGUGCCCUUUUCUGCGGAAUAGUCCUGGGAAACUGGGGGUAAUACCGCAUACGCCCUUUUGGGGAAAGAUUUAUCGGAGAAGGAUCGGCCCGCGUUGGAUUAGGUAGUUGGUGGGGUAAUGGCCCACCAAGCCGACGAUCCAUAGCUGGUUUGAGAGGAUGAUCAGCCACACUGGGACUGAGACACGGCCCAGACUCCUACGGGAAGCAGCAGUGGGGAAUCUUAGACAAUGGGGGCAACCCUGAUCGAGCCAUGCCGCGUGAGUGAUGAAGGCCUUAGGGUUGUAAAGCUCUUUCAGCUGGGAAGAUAAUGACGGUACCAGCAGAAGAAGCCCCGGCUAACUCCGUG